This 3724-nucleotide long non-coding RNA is filed under the name Daucus carota (carrot). RNAcentral describes it as "long non-coding RNA (DCAR_LNC000169)". The record is from RNAcentral. Lineage: Eukaryota; Viridiplantae; Streptophyta; Magnoliopsida; Apiales; Apiaceae.
CUGUAUAUUUUUUUUUUUGAUAAUGGAAAUUCAAAUAAUUUGAAAACAAAAAGAUUUAUUAAAAGAUCUGAAAGAGAAUAUUAAUCAAAUGAUUUCAAAACCUGAAUUUCAAAACUUGAAAGCCAUAAUAAAAGAUUCGAAAGAGAACAUUUGUACCCCCUAAAACAACAGGAUCGCAUCCAGGUUACAGUAUUGAAAUUAGAAUCUACCACUAUUAUUACACAACAUCUCUUACCAAAUCAGAUCAUCUUCGAUAAGAAGAAUCACUGUCAACUAUUCCAGCUAUGACUUGCACUUGAAUCUCUGUAGCACAGCUCUAGCUUGCACCAACCUCAUCAACUUUCCUGAACACUCCUCGCCUAGCCUUAGCUUUACUCGCAAUCAUAGACUAGCCAUUCAUCUUUAAUCCUUUCUGAAAUGGUUAAGAAAGGAAUAGCAAGAGUGAGCAACAAUGCUCAGCAAGUAAUAAUAAACAAUAACAAUAGUGAAUCAAUAUGAUAGAAGUUCAAAGGCUCAAGAUACUUUAGUAAAAGAUUCGACAUAAAUUCAUAAGAUUAAGGUAUUGUAUAGAAUGAUUCACAAUACCUUGCAACAAUGGAAUACUGGAGUAAUUCAAUCUUUCCAAGAGAAUUAUUGAAUUGGACUAUCACAUUUUAAUUAAAACAAAGGUUAGGAUGCUGAUCAGUCAUACCUAACCCCGAGCAGGCCCCGCCAUGCUCUGUCACUGGAUCCAAGGCACUCAUUGGCCUAACAUGACCACUCAUCUGGUCUGACCACUCAUUUGGUCCACAAAAUUUUAUAAAAACAAUAAUCCAAUUCUAUAAUUCAAUUCAACAGGUCAGUGUAAAUCAACAGAACAUCCUCAUAAAUAUCAUCAACAACAGAUUAAUUUCAAAUCAAACUUGGAUAAUAAUCUAUCCAUAAAUCAUGAUCCAUCAUUUCAUAAAUCACAGUUCAGGAAAUCCUCAACUAUUCAGUAUCCUCCAUUAUCGGCUAAGCAACUGAAUUUAGCCUGCUAAACCAGCAUGACAAUGGCGGGUUGAAUAAUCAAGAAGAUCCCAAUUCAUUCAAAGCUCUAACUAUCACUGAGCAACACAUGCUUCAAUGACAAUCUGAACUUCGAAUUAAUUUGUAAAACGGAAAUUCUUUAGAAACUUGAAGAUUAGAAAGAAUGGGUCAGAAUACUCGCACUUUCGAACAUUGAAAAGAAAGGUAUGAAUACUUGAAACAUAUACCAAAGGAAUGGAUCAGAAUAUUUGCAAUAUAUCCAAGAGAAAGGUUUAGGAUACUUGCCUUAAAUCUGACUCCAGUCUCACAUCUCAAUCUCAUCUUUCCACUUUCACAAUCUAUGCAUCUCAUAGUCUCUAGACCAUCUCUGGCUAUACUCUAUCUACCGUACAUCUUCGCUUCGCUUACUCGAUUCAUCCCUUAUUCGCUUUGUAACACCACGUGACUUUCUGAACGUCUUCGGGCAUACACGUCUCGUCCAAAUCCUUUACGAGAAUAAGAUAAUACUAUAGUCACUAAACAAUAUAUCGCAUAUACAUAUCACGUAUAUCGAUACCCACUUAUAUACCCCUUUAAACUUAUCACAUAUCACUUAACACGUAAUCAUGCUUUGACUCUACCAUAUAGUCAAGUCAUAUUCCACAUAACAUAUUACCAAUCACUUAUCAUAUGAAUCCUAUCGAAAAUCCGACAUCGUCUCGUCUAUUUAUUAGACUAUCCACCUGUUAUCCUAUCUCAAUCAACAAUCAACCAACAAGAUCCAAUCACUAUAAUCCAUAUAUUCUUAUCCAAUAUCAAUCAACUCACGACACUAUGUCAUCCAAAUCAUUUAUCACACGCAUAUACUAUCAUGAAUAAACAUGUAUAUCACGUAGUCAUUAGUUAAUAGCAACCAAAUAACAUAUAAUCACAUUUUGCACAUUUAACAAAAAUUAUUCAGAUUCUCGACUCCAUCAUAAUAUUAUGUCAUAUCAAACUAGACUUUAUAAGCUUCUGUCUCUCUUUCGUUUCACUUGAUUCCGACUUACGGAUCAAAAGUUAUGAUCAAAACCGUUUUCUAACUCCUCUAUCGGCACAUAACACAUCAAACAGAUAGCAGACAACACAUUACACAUAAGGUUUCCCACCCCAAUUGAUAUCAAAUCAACUCUUGGGUUAAAAAUGAUUUUUCGGGAAUUUUCUGGAAUUUUUAAACAUUUUUCGGAAUUAAAAUCGAUAAAAGAAUCACUUUUCGGAUAAAUAAUCAAGUCCCAAAUACUUGAAAUUGGACUUGAAAUCAUUCAUAAACAAUUAUCGAGCCUUGAAAAUAAUUUGGAAAAAUAUUUUAAAGCUCGAAACUAUUUUUCGGAAUUUUUAAAUCAAAAAGGAUUAAUUAAAUCCAAUUAAUUAAUCAAUUAAAAUCAAUUAAUAAUUAAUUAAAAUAAUUAAUCAAUUAAUAUUUAAAUUAAUUGACCAAUUAAAAUAAUUAAUUACUAAUUAAAAUUAAUUAAUAAACUAAUUUAGAUUUAUUUUUGAAUAAAGAAAUAAUUAAAAACUAUUUUUGGAAUUUAAAAUAAUUAAAUAAAACAAUUUUAGAAAAUUAAAUCAAAAGGUUUAUUUUGUAAACUUUUGAAAGUUUUUGUCCAGGGUUUAAAGUGUAACUUUCAAAAGUUACAGGGGGUGUUUUGUAAGAUUCAAAACUUAGGUACAACAACUUCACCACCUUCAAAACUUCGGUGACCAAACAGCAAUUUGCCGUCGGCCACCAUACUAACUCGCCGGAAACCUCGUUCCCGGCCUCCCCGAGCUCCCACAAACUCCAGAUAGCAUAUUUGGAAUACCAUAAACGUAAAACCGCCCUCAGAUUCAUCAGAAGCGGCCAUAUUUGGCCAUAGAAUGCAAAACAAAACUCGCCGCCGGCGACUUCCUUUUGAACUCCGGCGAGCCAUUUCCAGACAUCCCACAUAACUGUUGAACAUACACACAAGUUCCUCUCAUCACGCUCUUUCUAAUGAUAUAGAUCACAAUAGCCCAGAAUUUCUAGAUUAAAAACGCCUCUUUUUCAAUUAAGAAAAUUCAUAAACCUCCAAGAACAUUCAAGAACACAACUCCGAGAAUUAAACCAACGUUUCUAUAUGUUAUCGAAGUCAAAAUUCGACAUAUAAUAUACCAAAACGACGAGAAAAACAUGCUCUACAACAUAGAAUCAUCAAAACAACCAAAUAAUAUCAUUUACAAAAAUUCAUCCUUUAAAUCAAAAUAGCUCGAAUUUUGUAAAAUUUAUGUAAAAUCACCUGAUAAAUCUGCAUACAAACGGGUGAUUAAACAUGAUUCUACGCGUCGAUAGCUUCGUUUUGACUAUUCGUACACCUCCAUCGGAUUCCAAUAACACCUCCAAAUCCUCGUUUGAUUAUGAAGAACACGAAGAACACCGCUCGGUUUCUCUCGGUAUUUGUGAAAAGAAACUGGUGAAAAUGAUUUCUACGGUGAAAAUCAGCUAUAGAAAAGUCUAUUUAUAUUUACAAAUACUUGGUACCCCUUUGGAUCGUUUAUGACAUGAAAAUACGUAUUUAAUAGCUUUAUAUUAAUAAAGCGGGGUCCAAUCGGUACUGGUUUUCAAGAUAAUCAUCAAAACGGGGCUUUUUAAUCAGUCAUUAGUAUGCGGGUCCCACUGCAAUUAUUACAAGAUAAGGAUGAAUCAAAAUAUCUAGUUUCACGUUUAUCGAGACAACCAGAU